UGUUGUUUUUGGGUUUUCUUAGAAGAAGAAUAUAGAUUGUAGUACCUUUUGUAUCAGGGUUAUUUAAUUAAAAAAGAAAUUAAAAUUUCUCGAUAUUAAGUGAAAUAAAUAAGAUUAUUAGAUGUUGAAUAAUCAUAUAAAUUUAUUUAGUAGUGAAAUUUUUUCGUGGUUAAAGGUAUCUAGUUAUUAUAAUAAUAUAAUAUAAGGGAUAAGCUUUUUAUUUUGGUAUAUUUGGCAAUGUGUGUGAUAAAUUAGGCUUAAGAUUAGCUUUAUUAAUAAUUUGUUUUAAAAUUUUUAUGGUCGUAUUAGGAUAUUAGGUUUUAUGGGUAAGUUAAUUAAGCUUGAUUAUUUUUUUUGUAAUGAAUAAAUUAGUAUUUUUUUUUUCUGUAAAAUAUGACUCGAACUUUGUAAAAUGGUUUAUCAAAAACAUUUUUAUAUUUUUAUAUGAUAAGGCCUGCCCAGUGUGAUUAUAAACGGCUGCGGUAUUUUGACUGUGCUAAGGUAGCAUAAUAAUUUGUUUUUUAAUUGAAAACUGGAAUGAAAGGUUUUAUUUACAAAUAUGUUUAUUUGUAGAAUAGAUAAUUUAUAUUUGUGGUAAAAAUACCACAAUUAAAUAAAGUGACGAUAAGACCCUAUAAGCUUUAUUUAAAGGAUAAGUAGGCUUAGUAUUUAACGUUUUUUUAUUUUUAUGGGUUUUGCUGGGGCAGUAAUAUUAUUUGAUUUAAUAAGAUUUUAACAUAGGUGGAUGAAUGUAUGAUCUUUUUAUAAAGAUAGGUAGUAAAAGUUACUGUAGGGGUAACAGCGCAAUAAUUUUGGAGAGGCCUUAUUAAUAAAAUUGAUUGCGACCUCGAUGUUGAAUUAAGAUUUCUUUUUGUUGCAGAAGGCAAGAGAGAAGGUUUGUUCAACCUUUAAAUUUUUACAUGAUUUGAGUUCAAAUCGGUUUAAACCAGAUUGGUUUCUAUCUUUUAUGUAUGGUAAUUUGUGUAAGUACGAAAGGGACGCAUAAA
Molecule: ribosomal RNA, 1007 nt
Filed under: Pseudoniphargus ruffoi
Lineage: Eukaryota; Metazoa; Arthropoda; Malacostraca; Amphipoda; Allocrangonyctidae
Description: 16S ribosomal RNA
Rfam family: Archaeal large subunit ribosomal RNA (bases 795-953)
Source: RNAcentral